RNAcentral lists this ribosomal RNA (401 nucleotides) under uncultured bacterium. RNAcentral describes it as "bacterial SSU rRNA". It matches the Rfam family "Bacterial small subunit ribosomal RNA", at positions 356 to 774 of the family's 1533-position model. The record is from RNAcentral.
GGGGAAUCUUGCACAAUGGGGGAAACCCUGAUGCAGCGACGCCGCGUGAACGAUGAAGCCCUUCGGGGUGUAAAGUUCUUUCGACAGGAACGAUAAUGACGGUACCUGGAGAAGAAGCUGCGGCUAACUACGUGCCAGCAGCCGCGGUAAUACGUAGGCAGCGAGCGUUGUUCGGAGUUACUGGGCGUAAAGAGUGCGUAGGCGGUUUUCUAAGUUCGGUGUGAAAUCUCCCGGCUUAACUGGGAGGGUGCGCCGAAGACUGGGAAGCUGGAGUGUGGGAAAGGCAGGCGGAAUUCCUGGUGUCGCGGUGAAAUGCGUAGAUAUCAGGAGGAACACCGGCGGUGUAGACGGCUUGCUAGACCAUAACUGACGCUGAGGCACGAAAGCGUGGGUAGCAAACA